Molecule: ribosomal RNA, 553 nt
Filed under: uncultured fungus
Lineage: Eukaryota; Fungi
Description: eukaryotic LSU rRNA
Rfam family: 5.8S ribosomal RNA (bases 186-339)
Source: RNAcentral
AAGUCGUAACAAGGUCUCCGUUGGUGAACCAGCGGAGGGAUCAUUACUGAGUACUACACUCUCUACCCUUUGUGAACUAUUAUAUACUGUUGCUUUCGGCGGCGCCGCAAGGGUGCCCGCCGGUCUCAUCAGAAUCUCUGUUUUCGAACCCGACGAUACUUCUGAUGUUCUUAGCGAACUGUCAAAACUUUUAACAACGGAUCUCUUGGCUCCAGCAUCGAUGAAGAACGCAGCGAAACGCGAUAUGUAAUGUGAAAUUGCAGAAUUCAGUGAAUCAUCGAAUCUUUGAACGCACAUGGCGCCUUCCAGUAUCCUGGGAGGCAUGCUGUCCGAGCGUCGUUUCACCCUCGAGCCCCUGUGGCCCGGCGUUGGGGAUCUGCACGGCAGGCCCCUAAAACCAGUGGGCGGACCCGAAGGGCCCUCUCCUUUGCGCAGUAGCAUUCGCCUCGCAUCGGGAGUCCUCGGCGUCCUGCCUCUAAACACCCCACAAGCCGCUUCGCGGGCACCAAGGUUGACCUCGGAUCAGGUAGGAAUAACCCGCUGAACUUAAGCA